Molecule: ribosomal RNA, 428 nt
Filed under: uncultured archaeon
Lineage: Archaea
Description: bacterial SSU rRNA
Rfam family: Archaeal small subunit ribosomal RNA
Source: RNAcentral
UUAAGCCAUGCGAGUCGAACGAGUUUAGGCUCGUGGCGUACGGCUCAGUAACACGUGGAUAACCUACCCUUAGGACCAGGAUAACCUUGGGAAACUGAGGAUAAUACUGGAUAGACAAUUAUUUCUGCAAUGGUUUUUUGUUUAAAUGUUUUUUUCGCCUAAGGAUGGGUCUGCGGCCGAUUCGGUAGUUGGUUAGGUAAAGGCUUACCAAGCCGUUGAUCGGUACGGGUUGUGAGAGCAAGAGCCCGGAGAUGGAACCUGAGACAAGGUUCCAGGCCCUACGGGGUGCAGCAGGCGCGAAACCUCCGCAAUGUGAGAAAUCGCGACGGGGGGAUCCCAAGUGCCAUUCUUAACGGGAUGGCUUUCCAUUAGUGUAAAGAGCUUUUGGAAUAAGGGCUGGGCAAGACCGGUGCCAGCCGCCGCGGUAA